GAGAGAGAUCAUUAAUUAAGUCGGUCAAAUGAUGCCACAAGACGUCAAACGGCUCUGAAAGAGCUUUUCAUUUCGCGAUCUCUCUCUUUCUUUUUUUAAUCAUAUUCUUCCUUUUUUCCGUUUAGAUUCUCGAAGGACGUAGAGGGGUGUUUCUUUUUUAUUUUCUCUCUCUAUCUUCAAAAUCUCUGUAUCUCUGAAGCCCUCUUUGAAUUUUUCUCACAAGAGCUUGUUCUGGAGCUGGGUUUCUUGUGGUUUGGGCGGGGACUGUGAGAACCCAGUUGGCUUUUCUUUUGAUUGUGAGAGGUUUAAUGGGGGAUUUGGGUUUGGAGGUUGAACCCAUUUAGGUUUUGGAGUUGUUUCUGCAAUGGCGGAGACGGAUGAAAAUGGUGACUGGAGAGGUCUUAUGGCAAGUCCUAGAGGACUGUUCUCGGCUUUCAUUUCUGAUGGGUUCGCUUCCAGGUCGUCGUUGAAUGGGACUGAUGCUGCUCCGGCGAGUGCCGACGGUGAGCCCGUGAGUUCGGAGAGGAAAGCUGAGGAUGCUGGCGGGGCUGCAGGUAGAAGUAUUGGGUCUGGCGUUAAUGCUCUGACGGAGGUUUCAAGCGUUUGGAAGCCUGAAGGAGUUAGAAAUGGUGCGAGUAUUGCCGAGAGAAGGGCUGCUAUAUGUGGUUUCAGUGCUCCGAGAAUUAACACGGCUCGGUUUAGGUCCGUCAGUCCUUUGUCUUCACCGGGCGUUUGUUCGCCGUAUCUUACUAUACCGCCAGGUCUUAGUCCGACGACGCUGCUCGACUCCCCUGUAAUGCUUCCGAAUUCUCAGCCAUCUCCAACUACUGGGACUUUUCAAUUACCUCCUCUUGGACAAGAAGGUUCCAUGGAAGUUGCUGUAACUUCUAAUUCAGACAAGGAAAAGAGUGAUGAUUCUGAUGCCUCAUUCAUGUUUAAGCCUCAUGUCAAUCCAGAUUCUUUGCCAGGACUUUCUGGUGUUGUAAAUCAUGCUUGCUCUCCCAACCAGACUCAGAAUCUGGAAAAGAGUGGUUCCAAUCAUCAAGGUCAUGCUCGGGUGCAGCAGCAAGUUGAUUUUGAGUGUCAGACAGGGUUUCCAAAACCAGCUAUGCUAGCGGACUGCACAACCAAUCUUCAUUCUGAUGCUGAAGUUUCAAACAACAUGAUUGUGGAUAAUAAGUUCAUUGCUUUGCAAACUUGCCAUUCUGGUGUUGCUAGUGAUCAGGCACCUCUAAUUGAGGAGCCUGUGCAUGGAGAGGAUAAUGGAUCACAACAGCAGCUUUUGGAAGGGGAUCAGAAAGGGUCAUAUGCUUCCCUAGGAUUGGGAAGGCCAUCAGAAGAUGGAUAUAACUGGAGAAAGUACGGACAGAAACAGGUAAAAGGUAGUGAGUUUCCUCGAAGCUACUACAAAUGUACUCACCAGAACUGUCAAGUGAAGAAAAAGGUAGAACGAUCCCUUGAUGGUCAAAUUACAGAAAUUAUAUACAAGGGCGCUCAUAACCACCCAAAACCCCAGCCUAAUCGUCGAUCAGCAAUUGGAUCAGCACUUCCAUUCAAUGACAUGCCAGAGACAGAUUGGCGAGCUGAUGGUUUGGAGAGGACAUCUUCAACUUCUGUUUUAACUGAACUAUCUGAUCCACUAUCAACUGCGCAAGGAAAGCAUGUUAGUAUGGUUGAUUCAGCAGAUACUCCAGAGCUUUCUUCCACACUUGCUAGUCAUGAGGAUGAUGAAGAUAGAGCUACUCAGGGUAGCAUAUCAGUUGGUGAUGAUGGUGAUGAUGAUGAAUCUGAGUCAAAAAGAAGGAAAAAAGAGAGCUGUUUGAUUGAGACAAGUUUGGCAUCCCGGGCCGUCCGUGAACCAAGAGUUGUUGUACAAACAACUAGUGAAGUGGACAUACUGGAUGAUGGAUAUCGCUGGCGCAAGUAUGGGCAAAAAGUAGUUAAAGGCAACCCGAACCCUAGGAGCUACUAUAAAUGCACAAGUGCUGGGUGUUCUGUGAGGAAGCAUGUCGAAAGAGCUUCACAUGAUUUGAAGUCUGUGAUUACAACUUAUGAGGGAAAGCACAACCAUGAAGUACCUGCAGCCAGAAACAGUAGUCAUGUGAACCCGGGUGCUGGAAAUAUACCACCUGCUGGGCCCAAUGUUCAAACAGCUCUGACAUUGCCGGGAAGCACCAACUUUCCAAAGCCUGAACCACAAAUUCAAGAUCUUGCACCUCGUUUUGAGCGGAAACCUGACUUCGGUAACGAGUUCUUGAGGACCGGUUACCUAGGGGGUUUCUCUAGUGACAUCAAAUUAGGGACUUCUUGUUAUGAACUGAAGCUGCCUCCCUUACAAACUGCCAUGCCUUUCGGGUCUUUUGGACUGAAUCCUAGCCAUGGUGAUGCUCAUCAAAUGGCUUCUAUUGCUCAGCUUCCAGAAUUCCCAAUGUCAUUACCAUUGAGCAGUCUUCCCCGACCUGCAAACUUGGGACUAACGGGAUAUGAUUUCAGUGGGAAGACCAUUGGGCCGACUCAGUCUCUCCUCGGGGUACAACCACCCAAGGAAACUGAUACAAGGUUCCUCAGGCCUAAACAAGAGCAGAAAGAUGAUGCUGCUUAUGACACCCAUGCGCCCAUAAACCAUCUUGGGAAUGCAUCGUCAUCCAUAUAUCGCCAGAUGAUGGGAAGCUAUCCAUUAUAAAUACUUCCUGCUUGUUGAGUUGAGGGUCUUGAUAGGGGUACAUUCGGCACACAUCUUAAAAUUCCAAAGAGAUACGAUUGCUUUUCCUAGUUUGUUUUUUGGUUGUUGUGAUGAUUAAAGAAAAGGUUUCAACUUUGAUACACACAAUAGAUAAGGUAUUACUUGUUGUAUAUACUACAAAGGCCAGUCUCAAUUCUCAACAUUCGAAUAGGGUGGUUUUUACGUUUCUGAACUCGACUUGAUCAGGAUUGAUAUUUACAGGUUUUGGACCGGCUAUUCUUCAGCAUUGGUGAACUCACUUUGGGUAACGGAAAAUAUUUAGGGCAAAUUUAUUGAAGUACCCCUAUGGUUUAGGAGAUUGGCUAACUCUAUCCUUACUGUUUUCUGAUAAUUAUCUAAAACCUCU
This is an RNA transcript of Nelumbo nucifera (sacred lotus), 3089 nucleotides long. It is a transcript of the gene named WRKY transcription factor SUSIBA2-like, with no coding region annotated. NCBI's taxonomy places the organism in Eukaryota, Viridiplantae, Streptophyta, Magnoliopsida, Proteales, Nelumbonaceae. The record is from RefSeq and is a predicted model, not a curated record.